UGGGAUGUAGCUCAGCUGUAGAGCACUUAGCUUGGUGUGUGCCAGGCAGGCCCUGGGUUUGAUCCCUAGCAUCUCAA
RNAcentral lists this transfer RNA (77 nucleotides) under Ictidomys tridecemlineatus (thirteen-lined ground squirrel). RNAcentral describes it as "Spermophilus tridecemlineatus (thirteen-lined ground squirrel) tRNA". It matches the Rfam family "tRNA". Rfam says of the family: Transfer RNA (tRNA) molecules are approximately 80 nucleotides in length. Their secondary structure includes four short double-helical elements and three loops (D, anti-codon, and T loops). The record is from Rfam by way of RNAcentral. Lineage: Eukaryota; Metazoa; Chordata; Mammalia; Rodentia; Sciuridae.